This is a small nucleolar RNA of Catagonus wagneri (Chacoan peccary), 131 nucleotides long. Lineage: Eukaryota; Metazoa; Chordata; Mammalia; Artiodactyla; Tayassuidae. The record is from Ensembl.
CUAGCACUUUCACAGGUCCUCCCCAAGGCAGUGGGGCCAGGAUUUGGUAGCUGGUGCUUAAAUUGAAAACCCUUGAUUACAUCCUUGCCUUGGGACUAUGUCAGUGGCAACUGUCAAUUGAUGGGACAGAA